GACGAACGCUGGCGGCGUGCCUAACACAUGCAAGUCAACUUGACUGAAGGAGCAAUCUGACAGUAGAGUGGCGCAAGGGUGCGUAACGCGUAAGUAACUUGCCCCAAGGUAAGGAAUAACGUCGAGAAAUCGGCGCUAAUACCUCAUAAUGCAGCGGAUCCGCAUGGAUAUGUUGUUAAAGGUUUACCGCCUUGGGAUAGGCUUGCGUCUGAUUAGCUAGUUGGUGUGGUAACGGCACACCAAGGCUACGAUCAGUAACUGGUCUGAGAGGAUGAUCAGUCACACUGGAACUGAGACACGGUCCAGACUCCUACGGGAGCAGCAGUGAGGAAUAUUGGGCAAUGCUCGAAAGAGUGACCCAGCAACGCCGCGUGGAGGAUGAAGGUAUUCUAUAUCGUAAACUCCGUGUGAGAGCAGACGAAAGACAGAUUAUUAAUCUGGAU
RNAcentral lists this ribosomal RNA (443 nucleotides) under uncultured bacterium. Its description in RNAcentral is "bacterial SSU rRNA". It matches the Rfam family "Bacterial small subunit ribosomal RNA", at positions 28 to 470 of the family's 1533-position model. The record is from RNAcentral.